UCAGCCAACGUUCUGGUUCGAGCAGCCUCAUCUACAGGUAGAGUAGCUCCUGUAGCAUUAGUAUCGGACUCAGGUAUUGCAGCCCCUUGAGCAUCUAUCCUCUGACCUGCUGCAUUACGCAGAUGACCCUCCUGGUCAUGCAGGUUUCCUCUGUCAUCUCGUACAAGUAUCAAAGUAGCAACCAUAUCUCGGGGCUCAUUAUUGAUCGAUGUUCGGACUGAAGUAUCGGUCGAUGUCGGAGGAAGAUGUCGGUCGACGGUAGAU
This 264-nucleotide long non-coding RNA is filed under the name Brassica napus (rape). RNAcentral's name for it is "long non-coding RNA (BNAP_LNC015746)". Lineage: Eukaryota; Viridiplantae; Streptophyta; Magnoliopsida; Brassicales; Brassicaceae. The record is from RNAcentral.